UUCUCUCACUUGCCACCUCUAGGAACCUAAGAGCUUGAAUAGAUUGGUCGGCUAGGAAGCUCAGUCUGCCUCUCAGUAUAACUGCAUUUCAGGGUAGCCACUUUGGAAGUCAGAGAUUGGUGACGGUGAAUGAUCUCUAGGAAGCAUUUCCUUCAAUCUUGAAAAGAUUGAGAAGGUGAUUGUUAUUAUACCUAUUUUUUUAGAUGAAGAACCUAAUUCUGAGUGUCCCCUGCCUAUGAAGUCCCACUUGCCUAUGAAGAACAUCAAGGAUUGUCCCAACACUCUCUUUCAAGGUGGCAAAACCUUAUGGGAGUCUAAAUCAUCAAAUUACUCUGUGGUGUUUCCCUGAGUCAGCAUUCAUUGAGCAGCCAUUGAGGAUAGAACAGUAAACAGCCCAAGAAACCUCUGCCAAGUUAGACCUGUUUAUGGCACGUGAAGUUGCAUAUAUGGAGGGCAAGACCACAUUGAAGAAAUGUCAAGAUGUAGGACUUUCAGCUCCUUCUCCAGCAUCAUGUCUGCCUGCAAGCCACCAUGCUGCACCAAGAUGGUAAUGGAUUAAACCUCUGAAAAUGUCGAGACGUAGGACUCUCGGCUCCUUCUCGAGCACCAGUUCUGCCUGCAUGCCACCAUGUCCCAUAAGGAUGAUAAUGGACCAAGUAAACCUGGGAAAACGUCCUGAACACAGACACUGAAAAUACUUCCAAGGGAGCACCAGCUGCAGAUACUCAUUCUAUUUUCUACGUCUUUUAUGUUCUCCCCAACAUUAUUUUUAUAUGUGUAUGUGGUGUAAAUAUUUGUAUGUGCACUUAUACAUCCAUGUGGGUUCAUGUUCUUGAAUGGACAAGUAUAUGUGGAGGCCCAAGGUUAAAGUUGGGAAUCAUCCUCAACUGCUUUUCCACUAUGUUCAUUAAGGCAGAGGCUCAAAGUAAAACCCAAACUUCAGUGAUAUGACUAGUCUUACUAGCAAGUUUGCUUUGUGAAUCUCCUUUUCUCCACCUUCCAAGACUGAAAUUACAGGUGGAACACACUGGCCACUCAUCGUGUACAAGUGUUCUGGAGAUCCAAAGUCUGGUUCUUGUACUUGCAUACAAAAUACUUUAACCACUGAGCCAUCUCCGAAUACCAGCUUUUAUAUUUUCAUUUUGGUUUGUGAAUCAAGAUCAUGCAGAGAAAGAUCUCUUAUGAGGUAAACAGCAUAGCCAGUUAUCCCUGACUGGCCCAAUCUAGGGCUACAUCUACUUCAUGCACAAAUGGAGAUGAGGAAUCCUGGACUUGGAA
Peromyscus californicus insignis is the source of this 1278-nucleotide long non-coding RNA. RefSeq lists it as uncharacterized. The record is from RefSeq and is a predicted model, not a curated record. The transcript has 4 exons. Lineage: Eukaryota; Metazoa; Chordata; Mammalia; Rodentia; Cricetidae.